UGAAUCUCUCUGGGAAAAGUGGCCCUGAAUAGCAUUGUCUGUCUUACACCUGGUGGAGGCAUGUCCAUUUGUUGCACAAUUUUCCUUAUUGAGGUUCGAAACCCAUAUCAAGCAUUCGAUCUGCCUCAUCUAGAGCCAAGUACCUUAUCAUCUGUAACGAGACUCUAGCUCUCUCAAGUAAAUCAACUAACUGUCCAGGUGUUGCCACAAGAAUAUGCACUCCUCUCUAGCUCUCGAAGCUGUUAAGAUACAAUAAUAUCAUGGCUCAAAAACAUCUAUACGAGAACUGCUUUUAAAUGGUAAUAGACAUUUCAAUCUUCUUAUUCGAUGCAUAUGAAGUCUCACAUAGUGCAUGCAUGAAAGCGUACAACAAACAAUUUGUAUAUCCACUGAUAUUGUAAGGCACUCAAUAUUUAUCAGUAUUGUCCAUUACUAUGUUGCUCGGAUCCUCCAAAAUCCUGGGGGGUACCAUGCAAACAAGAGAUUAGAUAGAACCCGUUGGUUUAUAGGACCAUAAGCAACAACAACCCUGACACCACUGACAUCAUCAUUAUGAUGAUGAGCUUACAGUUACAAAAACAAAUAAGAGGUGCCACAUAGUAGUCCAACAAAUGAAAGAAGGAAGAAGAAAUAUAAAGAAAGAAAUUGGCUUAAAAGCACUUUUGAGGCUUACCGGACACCAGAAAUAAGCCGAAAAGUGUUUUUAAGCUUCCAAACACCUUCUGAGUCGCUUGAAAGUCUUGGGCAAAUGUCUUUCCCUCAUAUAACCCUGUAACAGGCAUUUGCAACACCAAAGUCUGCAGCAGAGAACAGAGCACUAACCUGAAUCUCUCUGGGAAAAGUGGCCCUGAAUAGCAUUGUCUGUCUUACACCUGGUGGAGGCAUGUCCAUUUGUUGCACAAUUUUCCUUAUUGAGGUUCGAAACCCAUAUCAAGCAUUCGAUCUGCCUCAUCUAGAGCCAAGUACCUUAUCAUCUGUAACGAGACUCUAGCUCUCUCAAGUAAAUCAACUAACUGUCCAGGUGUUGCCACAAGAAUAUGCACUCCUCUCUAGCUCUCGAAGCUGUUAAGAUACAAUAAUAUCAUGGCUCAAAAACAUCUAUACGAGAACUGCUUUUAAAUGGUAAUAGACAUUUCAAUCUUCUUAUUCGAUGCAUAUGAAGUCUCACAUAGUGCAUGCAUGAAAGCGUACAACAAACAAUUUGUAUAUCCACUGAUAUUGUAAGGCACUCAAUAUUUAUCAGUAUUGUCCAUUACUAUGUUGCUCGGAUCCUCCAAAAUCCUGUGGGGUACCAUGCAAACAAGAGAUUAGAUAGAACCCGU
This 1322-nucleotide long non-coding RNA is filed under the name Capsicum annuum. RNAcentral describes it as "long non-coding RNA (CANN_LNC011003)". Lineage: Eukaryota; Viridiplantae; Streptophyta; Magnoliopsida; Solanales; Solanaceae. The record is from RNAcentral.